GGCGAGUGAAGCGGCAACAGCUCAAAUUUGAAAUCUGGCCCCNUCGGGGUCCGAGUUGUAAUUUGUAGAGAGUGUUUNGGGUGAGACCACGGUCUAAGUCCAUUGGAACAUGGCGUCAUAGAGGGUGAGAAUCCCGUAUGUGACUGUGGCUCGAGCCCAUGUGAAGCCUCUUCGACGAGUCGAGUUGUUUGGGAAUGCAGCUCANAAUGGGUGGUAAAUUUCAUCUAAAGCUAAAUACUGGCUGGAGACCGAUAGCGCACAAGUAGAGUGAUCGAAAGAUGAAAAGCACUUUGGAAAGAGAGUCAAAAAGUACGUGAAAUUGUUGAAAGGGAAGCGCUUGCAACCAGACCUGUCCGUAGGUGAUCAGCCGCUGUUCUCAGCGGUGCACUCGCUNUGCGAUCAGGCCAGCAUCGGUUCCGGCGGUCGGAUAAAGGCCUUGGGAAUGUAGCUCCUCUCGGGGAGUCUUAUAGCCCUCGGUGCAAUGCGGCCAGCCGGGACCGAGGACCGCGCUUCGGNUAGGAUGCUGGCGUAAUGGUUGUAAGCGACCCGUCUUGAAACACGGACCAAGGAGUCUAACAUCAAUGCGAGUGUUUGGGUGUUAAACCCAUGCGCGGAAUGAAAGUGAACGGAGGUGAGAACCCGUUAGGGCGCAUCAUCGACCGAUCCAGAUGUCUUNGGAUGGAUUUGAGUAUGAGCAUUGCUGUUGGGACCCGAAAGAUGGUGAACUAUGCCUGAAUAGGGUGAAGCCAGAGGAAACUCUGGUGGAGGCUCGCAGCGGUUCUGACGUG
RNAcentral lists this ribosomal RNA (788 nucleotides) under Usnea flavocardia. RNAcentral describes it as "LSU rRNA". It matches the Rfam family "Eukaryotic large subunit ribosomal RNA", at positions 88 to 893 of the family's 3401-position model. The record is from RNAcentral. Lineage: Eukaryota; Fungi; Ascomycota; Lecanoromycetes; Lecanorales; Parmeliaceae.